This 458-nucleotide ribosomal RNA is filed under the name uncultured Mollicutes bacterium. RNAcentral describes it as "bacterial SSU rRNA". It matches the Rfam family "Bacterial small subunit ribosomal RNA", at positions 920 to 1381 of the family's 1533-position model. The record is from RNAcentral. Lineage: Bacteria; Bacillati; Mycoplasmatota; Mollicutes.
CCCGCACAAGCGGUGGAGCAUGUGGUUUAAUUCGACGCAACGCGCAGAACCUUUACCAGGUCUUGACAUACCAUUGACAGGUGUAGAGAUACACUCUCCUUCGGGCAAUGGAUACAGGUGGUGCAUGGUUGUCGUCAGCUCGUGCCGUGAGGUGUUGGGUUAAGUCCCGCAACGAGCGCAACCCUCAUUGUUAGUUACUACCAUUCAGUUGAGGACUCUAAUGAGACUGCCAACGACAAGUUGGAGGAAGUGGGGAUGACGUCAAAUCAUCAUGCCCUUUAUGACCUGGGCUACAAACGUACUACAAUGGCCAAUACAAAGAGAUGCGAAGCGGUGACGUGAAGCGAACCUCAGAAAGUUGGUCUCAGUUCAGAUUGAAGUCUGCAACUCGACUUCAUGAAGGCGGAAUCGCUAGUAAUCGCGGGUCAGCAGACCGCGGUGAAUACGUUCCUGGGUUU